GUAACACUAACUGGAGGACCGAACCGACUAAUGUUGAAAAAUUAGCGGAUGACCUGUGGCUGGGGGUGAAAGGCCAAUCAAACCGGGAGAUAGCUGGUUCUCCCCGAAAGCUAUUUAGGUAGCGCCUCGUGAAUUCAUCUCCGGGGGUAGAGCACUGUUUCGGCUAGGGGGCCAUCCCGGCUUACCAACCCGAUGCAAACUGCGAAUACCGGAGAAUGUUAUCACGGGAGACACACGGCGGGUGCUAACGUCCGUCGUGAAGAGGGAAACAACCCAGACCGCCAGCUAAGGUCCCAAAGUCAUGGUUAAGUGGGAAACGAUGUGGGAAGGCCCAGACAGCCAGGAUGUUGGCUUAGAAGCAGCCAUCAUUUAAAGAAAGCGUAAUAGCUCACUGGUCGAGUCGGCCUGCGCGGAAGAUGUAACGGGGCUAAACCAUGCACCGAAGCUGCGGCAGCGACACUGUGUGUUGUUGGGUAGGGGAGCGUUC
RNAcentral lists this ribosomal RNA (487 nucleotides) under Salmonella enterica subsp. enterica serovar Agona. RNAcentral describes it as "partial 23S ribosomal RNA". It matches the Rfam family "Bacterial large subunit ribosomal RNA", at positions 756 to 1241 of the family's 2925-position model. Lineage: Bacteria; Pseudomonadati; Pseudomonadota; Gammaproteobacteria; Enterobacterales; Enterobacteriaceae. The record is from RNAcentral.